This 440-nucleotide ribosomal RNA is filed under the name uncultured bacterium. RNAcentral describes it as "partial 16S ribosomal RNA". It matches the Rfam family "Bacterial small subunit ribosomal RNA", at positions 338 to 795 of the family's 1533-position model. The record is from RNAcentral.
CCUACGGGGGGCAGCAGUGGGGAAUAUUGCACAAUGGGGGAAACCCUGAUGCAGCGACGCCGCGUGAGUGAAGAAGUAAUUCGUUAUGUAAAGCUCUAUCAGCAGGGAAGAAAAUGACGGUACCUGAGUAAGAAGCCCCGGCUAACUACGUGCCAGCAGCCGCGGUAAUACGGAGGGGGCAAGCGUUAUCCGGAUUUACUGGGUGGAAAGGGAGCGUAGACGGGAGGGCAAGUCUGAAGUGAAAGGCGGGGGCUCAACCCCCGGACUGCUCUGGAAACUGUACGGCUGGAGUGCAGGAGAGGUAAGUGGAAUUCCUAGUGUAGCGGUGAAAUGCGUAGAUAUUAGGAGGAACACCAGUGGCGAAGGCGGCUUACUGGACUGUAACUGACGUUGAGGCUCGAAAGCGUGGGGAGCAAACAGGAUUAGAUACCCCAGUAGUC